Molecule: long non-coding RNA, 270 nt
Filed under: Elaeis guineensis (African oil palm)
Lineage: Eukaryota; Viridiplantae; Streptophyta; Magnoliopsida; Arecales; Arecaceae
Description: long non-coding RNA (EGUI_LNC011830)
Source: RNAcentral
UUUGUUUCAUUCUCCCAUAGGCAUUACAAUAAGAACAAAAAAAAAAUAGAAAUAGAAAAGAUGGUAGGGGAAGAAUACGCCUAUGCGCUCGGCUUCGGCUUGCAGAAGCCAACACCCUCUACACAUGUCUGACCCCACUGCGACCAUCGAUCCUUACCUAAGCUUGUGGGCCCCAUGGUGGCCUCGGCCUUUAUGUCGGCUACCAAUCUCCUUCGGCCACCGCAUCCUGGGAUUGACCUCCACUGUAAGCUUUAGCCAUUGACCCCAAGG